Molecule: long non-coding RNA, 1008 nt
Filed under: Lynx pardinus (Iberian lynx)
Lineage: Eukaryota; Metazoa; Chordata; Mammalia; Carnivora; Felidae
Source: RNAcentral
GCUUCCCUGUCACUUCUCUGUCUCUCUUCUCCUGCUGAGCUGUGUUUCAUGGCAGUAAUUACCGUAGUUGGUGCUGCUGGACUUGCCACCUUGGUUUUGUGGUUUGGCAAAGUAUUGGCCUCAAUCACCAUAACAACCAGACCUUCUGCCUCCAAAAUUUCUUCCUUUCAUGAGUCCAAAAUAUGAAGGCUGAUUGUUGUAAUUGCCAAAAUCAUUAUAGCUUCCACCACUUCCAAAGCUGUUUCCAUCUUUACCAAAUCCAUUAUAGCCACCCCCAUUGCCACCACCUUGACUGCCACCAAAGCCACCAAAUUUUCCUGCAUAACUAAGUUGUCAUUUCCACCAUGGCUUCCAUGACCACCACCAAAGUUUCCAGAACACCUUCGACCUCUUUGGCUGGUUGAAGCAUUAGCCAUCCCUUGUUUAGUAGGGCUUUCCUUCCUUCACAGUAUGGUAUUUUUGAAUGACAUUCUUAUCUACAGAGUCAUGGGUCACCAAAUGUUACAAAACCAAAGUCUCUCUUGCCACUGCCUUGGUCAGUCAUUAUUUCAGUCACUUGAAUUUUCCCAUAUUGUUGAAAAUAAUCUCUUAGAUGGUGUUCUUCAGUGUCUUUAGUGCCACCAACAAAAAUAGUUUUCACAGUUAAGUAGACACCAGGUCUUUGAGACUCUUUUCUUGAGACAGCCCUCUUUGGUUCCACAACUCUCCCAUCCACCUUGUGUGGCCUUGCAUUCAUGACUGCAUCCACUUCCUCCACCAUGGCAUAUAUGACAAACCCAAAGUUUCUGAAGUAUUUGGUGUUUGGAUCUCUCAUUCCCACAGGGUUUGUAAGUGUUUGCCAUUGCUCAUAAUGGCUCCUCAGACUCCCAUCUGUUGUUUCAAAGCUCAAACCUCUGAUGAGGAGCUUCUGAAGCUGUUCAGGUUCCUUGGGAGACUCUGACUUAGACAUAACAGUAGUGGAAGGGGAGACUUCAGUGAUGCUUACUAGAAGGCAUCCGUGAGCAGAAA